This 429-nucleotide ribosomal RNA is filed under the name Chloroflexota bacterium. RNAcentral describes it as "Chloroflexi bacterium partial 16S ribosomal RNA". It matches the Rfam family "Bacterial small subunit ribosomal RNA", at positions 355 to 776 of the family's 1533-position model. The record is from RNAcentral. Lineage: Bacteria; Bacillati; Chloroflexota.
UGGGGAAUAUUGCACAAUGGGCGCAAGCCUGAUGCAGCCAUGCCGCGUGUAUGAAGAAGGCCUUCGGGUUGUAAAGUACUUUCAGCGGGGAGGAAGGGAGUAAAGUUAGUACCUUUGCUCAUUGACGUUACCCGCAGAAGAAGCACCGGCUAACUCCGUGCCAGCAGCCGCGGUAAUACGGAGGGUGCAAGCGUUAAUCGGAAUUACUGGGCGUAAAGCGCACGCAGGCGGUUUGUUAAGUCAGAUGUGAAAUCCCCGGGCUCAACCUGGGAACUGCAUCUGAUACUGGCAAGCUUGAGUCUCGUAGAGGGGGGUAGAAUUCCAGGUGUAGCGGUGAAAUGCGUAGAGAUCUGGAGGAAUACCGGUGGCGAAGGCGGCCCCCUGGACAAAGACUGACGCUCAGGUGCGAAAGCGUGGGGAGCAAACAGG